CUCAUAAUUAUUCAUUCCCCCCGCCCUUCUUUUAUUUGAUGGAGAGGAACUUGGCUCCUUAGAUUAACGAGGAGUUCUUCCUCAAUUUAUUUCGUGGCCGUUUAGUCAUCCAACUGUAGCAAAUAGAUAAACGGUUCAUAAUAUUUUUACUGAAUCUGUCCAUAUUUUUUUAGUAUGUAACUAUUCACACACCUUUUUUUUACUGCCCACACAUUCCUUGUUAAUUUUUGUUUUUUUAUCCUCUUCAAUUCAUUUGAUUUGAUGACCGAAAUUGAGAGGUGUUUGGUCGUUUUGGAUGGUAACAAUGGAUGUGCGGAUAGCACCACCUUUUUUAUACAAUUUGAUAAUUAAAUGAUCUCAUAUUUAAAUGAUUAUUUGUAGAAAUAACCUUUAAAGAAUUAUUUAUAAUAUUAAUAAUCUCAAUCAUAAGUUUGAAGUUCUAUGAAUAGAUCACAAGGUGAAAUGAACAAUAACUCUUCAUUCAUUGAAUAGCCAAGUUGUUUCCUUAUUUUUUGGGCCUAAUUCCUUAUUUUUGGGGCAGAGCCACCAUUUUCCUCAUCUUCCUCUCUCUCUUUCUCUCUCUCUCUCUCUCUCUCUCUCUCCAACUACCAUUUUCUCUUCACCAACUCUUUUGUUCAUCUGCCUUCCCUCAUCCCUCAUGAUUUCUCUCCCCAAUCUCCUCCUAUUAAAUAAUACGUACAAGUUUUAAAUACACAAAACCUUCUUUGGCUCUGAUUAGGGGUUCGAUCUUUGAUCUGGAAAACAUGGAUUCCAUUGAAGAAAGUCUUCAAUAGGUUCUAUUCAUUACCGAUAACUCUUUUUUCAUCUUCCCUUUCCUUUGUUCUCAUUCUCCCUCUUAAUCUUCCUCAGAAUCAUUGCAGCAGCAAAUUCACCGCCGCCACCGCUGAUACGAUGUUAAGAGAGAGGGAUCAAAUGUUGUAUUUUAAGCUUUGCUAGCCACUACUUACUCUCUCCUCUUCACUAGAUUUAGCGAGGAACUGUUCACAAUACUAAGUUUUUCGUUAGAAUAAGAACAACCAGUCCGUUGGACUUGUUUUUGUGAGUUUUGCUAAAUAUUCGGUUAAAAUAGCCAAAACCCCUCUUUUAGACGGCACACUUCUACUUCAUUAUUAUGAACUUUUAUUAAUCUUGCACUCAAACAACAAAACUAUUUAUGAGAGUUUGAAGGGUUGUAAUAAUCUAAACGACAAUGUAAUCGUUAUCUAAGAAUAAAGAAUGCAGUCACAAGCGUUUAUAUAUUCUUUCGUAUUUUUCAACUUAUACAUUAAUUAUUGUGAAUUCUUAUUUAUUUUGAACUCCUCCUAAAAACACUAUUCAUGAGGAUUUGUAGUGUUCUAAAAAUUUAAAUGACGAUGCACCCAUCGUCAAAGCUUACAGAAUACGAUCACGAGCGUUUGCAU
This 1421-nucleotide long non-coding RNA is filed under the name Malus domestica (apple). RNAcentral's name for it is "long non-coding RNA (MDOM_LNC016476)". Lineage: Eukaryota; Viridiplantae; Streptophyta; Magnoliopsida; Rosales; Rosaceae. The record is from RNAcentral.